Molecule: long non-coding RNA, 1156 nt
Organism: Sciurus carolinensis (gray squirrel)
Lineage: Eukaryota; Metazoa; Chordata; Mammalia; Rodentia; Sciuridae
Exons: 3
Source: RefSeq, a predicted model, not a curated record
GUUCUUCCGCGGUGAGAAUUCCAAGCAGGUAGCGCCUGGCCUCUCCUCUCUGGCCCCUGCCAUCUGACCAGGUGCAACUGGGAGCCAACCCACAUUUAGGAGACUUGGAUCAUCUCCCACCAGGAUCACUGACAGGGAGAGACAUGUCUCCUUCAUGUCCAGCCCCAUGGUGAGAAGGUAUUUCUGGGGUCGGCCUCGGGCUGGGUGGCACCUCCUGUUAGCACUGCAAGGGAGCCAGCUCCUCCUUAGAGUGUUCCGGUGGGGGUCCCCUUGAGAGCGGUGCCUCCAAUGCCACCUGCCACCCCCAAAGCCUGCCGGGCUUGACUUUGCGGGGACUCCAGCUGUUGGACAUCUUCCCACACUGAGGAGUCAAGCUGGACCCUCCUGACAUCCCCCGGUGACCCAGAAGGAAGAAGAAAGGGGGAGAAAAGAGAAGAGGCGGCGGCGCGGAGGGCCCCGUGGCAGGUGUCCCCCUUGUCCUUGGCGCUGGGGUCACCUCAUGGUCUCGUGCUCACCGGUCCCUCCCCUGCCUGCUCUCCCCUCUCCUCGCUUUCUGCCUGGUGGAAGGGUGACAGGUUCCAAGGCCAUCUCACACGGUCCUAAAUUACAGGCGCCUGCCUCCUGGUGUGGGUUGAAUUGUGUCCUCCCAGCCCCAGACACCUACGGAUGUCCUCCCGGGACCUUAACUGGAAACAGGGUUCUUCGUUAAGACGAUGUCACCUGGGGUAGGUGGGCCCCUGCUCCGUAGGACUGUGACCUUACCCGAGGAACAUCGUGUGCUGAGACAGACUCACACAGAGGGAAGACGAAGUGAGGUCCCGGGAGGAGGCCACCUGCUGGUGAAGGGACGCCGGGGGCUGCCAGAAGCAGAGAGGCAUAGAACAGAUUCUCCCUCGCGGCCCUUGGAAGGAAUCCAGCCGGCUGAGGCUUUGAUGUGAACUUCUGGCCUCCAGAACUCCAAGAGAAGAAAUGUCUGCUGAAGGAGCCACCUCGUUUGGUAGGGUGUCAUGGCAGCUGCUGUAGCCUAGAUCCAGAAAGUCCCCCACAGUCCCAUGUGUUAGAAGCUCGGUCCCUAGGGUUGUACUAUUGGGAGGUGCUGGGCCUUUAAGAGGCGGGGUCUAGCGGGAGGUCUUUAGCUCAUUGAGGAUUGUGGGAC